Lagopus muta (rock ptarmigan) is the source of this 1510-nucleotide long non-coding RNA. RefSeq lists it as uncharacterized. The transcript is spliced from 4 exons. Lineage: Eukaryota; Metazoa; Chordata; Aves; Galliformes; Phasianidae. The record is from RefSeq and is a predicted model, not a curated record.
CCAUGAGGGAGGAUACAGUAGACCCUCAUCCGUCAUUUGGCUGUGUGCAAGGAGAUGCUUGUGAUAAAUCAAUCUGAGAGGAAGCGUGACCCCUCAAAGUAGGGCUACUGCUGAAGAGGAUAUGGGCCCGCAGGCUGUCAUGCAAGGAAGGAUAUUAGUGCAGACUCGGUCAAGAGAGAAAGCCAUACCACCAUGCUCAGGCUUGGCUCUGCUGCAACCACUUCUCGUGCUCCAGUGCUGCCUUGCUGACUCUUGGAUGCUGCCUGUGCAAGGCCCAGCGCUGCCUUGCCUGCUUGGUGCGGGUUAUCAGUGGUCAGUUCCUGUUUCAGCAAAUAGCUCUGGUGGAAAAGGACUGAUCUGCAGGAGCAGCCACCACAGCAGGAUAUUCCAAAGCCAGGAUCCUCUGUGAGCUCUGGGCUUUCAUGUGAUGUGCACUACGGAUCCAACGCCGGUCCAGGUCUUCUGCUGCACGACUACACGCAGUGCUGCUGGCUUCAGCUCCACGUUCCUGCUUUGGGAGAGCAUGGAGCCUGCAUCUCUGCACCCACGGACACUGCUUCUGUCAGGUACCUGAGAGAUGGUGGAGCCCCCAGGUUUGUCCUCAGCUGAAGCUUUUCAGCUCUUUUCUCCACACCCCGCAUCCCGAGGCCCACCUGCUGGAUGCUCCACGGAACGGCUCGGCUCUGCUGCUUCGGAGAGCCUCGAAAUGAGUCCGCAGAUCAAGCGUGCCACCUGCAGCCCGCGUCUGGGACUGCGGGAGGCUCUGCUGCUGCGCCUACAGCAGGGGUGGGCAAGCAGCCCCUUCCUGAAGUAGCCCCUUCCUUCUCAGCUAAACUGUCUGUGCUUAAACUUCCCAGAGGUGAGAACAGGAGAAAUGGGUUUUUAAGAGGAAUUGAAGAGACUGAAUGAGAGAUAUUUCCCUAAUAAUUGAGUCGUUAAAACACACCUCUUAAAUUACGAAUUAAAAUGAGAUAAGGCUCAUGGUGUGCUGCCCUAUCAGAGUGCAGAGGGUUUACUGCUGUGCUCUUUCUCAAGGGUUCUUCUCCAACCCAUCCAUUUCACAAGUGAAAGGGAGAAAAAGUUUCAUUCAGGUGCUUUGGCCGAGCAGCUCCAACUGGCUGAAGCUCUGAAUGUCUUUGGUUGUGGGGUUUUGCCCAGGAAGACAGUGAGGAGUUGGCCUGUUUCUCCAAGGAGUGGAUCAUAGAAUCAUUGAGGCUGGAAAGGAUCUCUAAGAGCACAAUGUCCAUCCCUACUAACUGUGCCCCUCUCUGGUUGAGCCUAGGCCUUUCUAAAGGCUCUCCAGUCGUUCAGUCAAAAUUAAAUGGGGGUUUCAGCAAUCCUGCCCUUUUCUUACUCUUUUUUUGCUCUGCUAUUGACUUAGAGAAAUAAAGAACUCUUCUACACCUCAGUUCCCCCACCAAGACAACAACAGAACCAAUUCACCCACAAAGUAUCUUGAAAGCCACAAAUGCCUAAUGGCAGUGAUUUCUGGUUAGUGCUAUGGCAGAAA